GGAAUUCCUGGUGUAGCGGUGGAAUGCGCAGAUAUCAGGAGGAACACCGAUGGCGAAGGCAGAUCUCUGGGCCGUAACUGACGCUGAGGAGCGAAAGCAUGGGGAGCAAACAGGCUUAGAUACCCUGGUAGUCCAUGCCGUAAACGUUGGGAACUAGAUGUGGGGACCAUUCCACGGUCUCCGUGUCGUAGCUAACGCAUUAAGUUCCCCGCCUGGGGAGUACGGCCGCAAGGCUAAAACUCAAAGGAAUUGACGGGGGCCCGCACAAGCGGCGGAGCAUGCGGAUUAAUUCGAUGCAACGCGAAGAACCUUACCAAGGCUUGACAUAUACGAGAACGCACUGGAGACAGUGAACUCUUUGGACACUCGUAUACAGGUGGUGCAUGGUUGUCGUCAGCUCGUGUCGUGAGAUGUUGGGUUAAGUCCCGCAACGAGCGCAACCCUCGUCCUAUGUUGCCAGCACGUAAUGGUGGGAACUCAUGGGAUACUGCCGGGGUCAACUCGGAGGAAGGUGGGGAUGAGGUCAAAUCAUCAUGCCCCUUAUGUCUUGGGCUUCACGCAUGCUACAAUGGCCGGUACAAUGGGCUGCGAUACCGCAAGGUGGAGCGAAUCCCAAAAAGCCGGUCUCAGUUCGGAUUGAGGUCUGCAACUCGACCUCAUGAAGUCGGAGUCGCUAGUAAUCGUAGAUCAGCAACGCUACGGUGAAUACGUUCCCGGGCCUUGUACACACCGCCCGUCAAGUCAUGAAAGUCGGUAACACCCGAAGC
RNAcentral lists this ribosomal RNA (767 nucleotides) under Agrococcus sp. Its description in RNAcentral is "bacterial SSU rRNA". It matches the Rfam family "Bacterial small subunit ribosomal RNA", at positions 663 to 1427 of the family's 1533-position model. Lineage: Bacteria; Bacillati; Actinomycetota; Actinomycetes; Micrococcales; Microbacteriaceae. The record is from RNAcentral.